AUUAAUACUUUACUUUAGCUAUGUUUGGUAUGCAUGAGUUAAUGAGUGAUUAGAGUACUAUGAGCAGCACAGGUUUAGAAAUGCCUAUUUGCCUAUAGUGCAGCCUCUUACAUAGGCAAAAUAAAAGUCAAGUAAGAAUUUUAUUUUAUUUUUUUAAAAUGCAAAGUAAAAUGUGUCUUUAAAACUCUCCCAGGAGGUGAAGGGAAGCUACCAUAACACCAGGUGGGAAGGAAGACAUACUGGGCUUGGCUCAUGCUUUAAUUAGCUACUGUGUAAAAAUGUUCAGGGAUUUUCAGUUAUCCGCUGGCACCCAGAGGCAAUGGGUAAGGUUAACUGGAGCUAGAGCCAAUAUUUUUUUCUUCCUAGAAGGAGUAACAGCAGCAAACAGUAGGAGAGAAGAUGCCAAGUUAGAAGUGCAUAUAGCUCUCUUCCACAGGAGGCCUACAUGCCGCCACUUGUGCUGCCGCCAUGUCUCUAGUGAUCCCUGAAAAGUCCCAGCAUAUUUUGCCGAGUAGUCAACACCAACAUUGAUGGGUGGCGGAAAAUGGCCUUUGCCAUCACUGCCGUUAAGGGUGUGGGCCGAAGAUAUGCUCAUGUGGUGUUGAGGAAAGCAGACACUGACCUCACCAAGAGGGCGGGAGAACUCACUGAGGAUGAGGUGGAACAUGUGAUCACCAUUAUGCAGAAUCCACACUAGUACAAGAUGCCAGCCUGGUUCUUGAACAGACAGAAGGAUGUAAAGGAUGGAAAAUAUAGCCAGGUCCUAGCCAAUGGUCUGGACAACAAGCUCUGUGAAGACCUGGAGCGACUGAAAAAGAUUCGGGCCCGUAGAGGGCUGCGUCACUUCUGGGGCCUUCGUGUCCGAGGCCAGCACACCAAGACCACAGGCUGCCGUGGCCGCAUCGUGGGUGUGUCUAAGAAGAAGUAAGUCUGUAGGCCUUGUCUGUUAAUAAAUAGUUUAUAUACCAAAAAAAAAAAAAAAAAAAA
RNA transcript from Homo sapiens (human), 987 nucleotides. It is a transcript of the gene named ribosomal protein S18 pseudogene 9, with no coding region annotated. The record is from RefSeq and is marked validated. The transcript has a single exon. NCBI's taxonomy places the organism in Eukaryota, Metazoa, Chordata, Mammalia, Primates, Hominidae.